Theobroma cacao (cacao) is the source of this 182-nucleotide non-coding RNA. The record is from RefSeq and is a predicted model, not a curated record. NCBI's taxonomy places the organism in Eukaryota, Viridiplantae, Streptophyta, Magnoliopsida, Malvales, Malvaceae.
CUACGAUCAUCACCUUUGAUUCCGAGUCAUAACCUUAAACAGAACCAUUUUUUUGGGUUUCAGUGGUCUAGCCAGAACCAAUUUAGGACUCUCAAGGUGCAUGCCCAAGUUAAUGAGGUUGCCGUCGAGAAAUCGCUGAAUUCUGCACCAAUCAUAGAGAUAACAUCAGAAGAAAAAGGGAA